Molecule: transfer RNA, 74 nt
Filed under: Pseudomonas phage vB_PaeM_PA5oct
Lineage: Duplodnaviria; Heunggongvirae; Uroviricota; Caudoviricetes; Arenbergviridae
Also listed under: 3 other names
Description: tRNA-Met
Rfam family: tRNA
About the family: Transfer RNA (tRNA) molecules are approximately 80 nucleotides in length.
Source: RNAcentral
CCCUCGGUAGCUCAGUUGGUUAGAGCGCGCGACUCAUAAUCGCUAGGUCACUGGUUCGAAUCCAGUUCGAGGGA